GUAGUUGUGGCCGAGUGGUUAAGGCGAUGGACUCGAAAUCCAUUGGAGUCUCCCUGCGCAGGUUCGAAUCCUGCCGACUACG
Molecule: transfer RNA, 82 nt
Filed under: Danio rerio (zebrafish)
Lineage: Eukaryota; Metazoa; Chordata; Actinopteri; Cypriniformes; Danionidae
Description: tRNA-Ser (CGA) (tRNA-Ser-CGA-19-1)
Rfam family: tRNA
About the family: Transfer RNA (tRNA) molecules are approximately 80 nucleotides in length. Their secondary structure includes four short double-helical elements and three loops (D, anti-codon, and T loops).
Source: Rfam by way of RNAcentral